GGCUCUUUGCUCAAAUAAAGAGUCUAAUCUGCCCGGUGACUGGAAGUUUAACGGCCGCAGUAUCCUGACUGUGCAAAGGUAGCAUAAUCACUUGCCCUAUAAUUGAGGGCUGGAAUGAAUGAUUGAAUGGAAUAUAUCUGUCUCUAAAAGAUUUUAUAGAAUUUAGGUUCCACGUGAAGACCCAUGGAUUGAAUUAAGGGACGAGAAGACCCUAUCGAGCUUUAAGUUUUAUAUUCAAUAAGAAUAUUAGGGCUUUUGAUUGGGGCAAUCCAAGAACAUUUAAAGCUUCUUGUAAGUUCAUAGAUCCAAUAUGAUUGAUUAAGGAUUAAGUUACCGUAGGGAUAACAGCAUAAUUCUUUUAUAGAGUUCAAAUCGAAAAAAGAGUUUGUGACCUCGAUGUUGGACUAAAAUACCUAUAGGUGUAGUCG
This 428-nucleotide ribosomal RNA is filed under the name Monogamus entopodia. Its description in RNAcentral is "partial 16S rRNA". It matches the Rfam family "Bacterial large subunit ribosomal RNA", at positions 1817 to 2561 of the family's 2925-position model. Lineage: Eukaryota; Metazoa; Mollusca; Gastropoda; Littorinimorpha; Eulimidae. The record is from RNAcentral.